RNAcentral lists this ribosomal RNA (1425 nucleotides) under uncultured bacterium. RNAcentral describes it as "bacterial SSU rRNA". It matches the Rfam family "Bacterial small subunit ribosomal RNA". The record is from RNAcentral.
AUAGUUUGAUCCUGGCUCAGGAUAAACGCUGGCGGCGCACAUAAGACAUGCAAGUCGAACGGAAGUCGUUGUAAUGAUGUUGACAUGGACAGAGAACUUGUUCGAGGAAGGUGAAGAUUGACUUACAACAAUGGCUUUAGUGGCGGACUGGUGAGUAACACGUAAGCAACCUGCCUAUCAGAGGGGAACAACAGUUAGAAAUGACUGCUAAUACCGCAUAUGCCUAAGUAACACAUGUUACAAUAGGGAAAGGAGUAAUCCGCUGAUAGAUGGGCUUGCGUCUGAUUAGAUACUUGGUGGGGUAACGGCCUACCGAGUCGACGAUCAGUAGCCGGACUGAGAGGUUGAACGGCCACAUUGGGACUGAGAUACGGCCCACACUCCUACGGGAGGCAGCAGUCGGGAAUAUUGCGCAAUGGAGGAAACUCUGACGCAGUGACGCCGCGUGCACGAAGAAGGUUUUCGGAUUGUAAACUGCUUUAGACAGGGAAGAAAAAAGACAGUACCUGUAAAAUAAGCUCCGGCUAGCUACGUGCCAGCAGCCGCGGUAAUUCGUAAGGAGCAAGCGUUAUCCGGAUUUAUAGGGUGUAAAGGGUGCGUAUACGGGAACACAAGUUACUUGUGAAAUCCCUCGGCUUAACUGAGGAACUGCAACUAAAACUAUCUUUCUUGAGUGCUGGAGAGGAAGUGGAAUUCCUAGUGUAGCGGUGAAAUGCGUAGAUAUUAGGAGGAACACCAGUGGCGAAGGCGACUUUCUGGACAGUAACUGACGUUGAGGCACGAAAGUGUGGAGAGCANACAGGAUUAGAUACCCUGGUAGUCCACACCGUAAACGAUGGAUACUAGGUGUAGGGUGUGAUAAACAUUCUGUGCCGUCGCAAACGCAAUAAGUAUCCCACCUGGGGAGUACGGCCGCAAGGUUGAAACUCAAAGGAAUUGACGGGGGCCCGCACAAGCAGUGGAGUAUGUGGUUUAAUUCGACGCAACGCGAAGAACCUUACCAGGGCUUGACAUAUACAGGAAUAAGUUAGAGAUAACUUAGCUCUUCGGAGCCUGUAUACAGGUGGUGCAUGGUUGUCGUCAGCUCGUGUCGUGAGAUGUUGGGUUAAGUCCCGCAACGAGCGCAACCCCUGUUCUUAGUUGCCAGCACGUUAAGGUGGGAACUCUAAGAAGACUGCCGGUGAUAAAUCGGAGGAAGGUGGGGACGACGUCAAAUCAUCAUGCCCUUUAUGUCCUGGGCUACACACGUACUACAAUGGCUAUUACAGAGGGAAGCGAAACCGCGAGGUGGAGCAAAACCCAAAAAAGUAGUCUCAGUUCGGAUUGAAGGCUGAAAUUCGCCUUCAUGAAGCCGGAAUUGCUAGUAAUGGCAGGUCAGCAUACUGCCGUGAAUACAGUUCCCGGGGCCCUUGUACAACACCGCCC